AAUCAACGCUGGCGGCGUGCCUAACACAUGCAAGUCGAACGCGAGAGGGGCUUCGGCCCCGAUUGAGUGGCGAACGGGUGAGUAACGCGUGGGUGACCUACCUUCGAGUGGGGGAUAACGUCCCGAAAGGGACGCUAAUACCGCAUAACAUCCUGCUUUUGAAUGGGUGGAGAUCAAAGCCGGGGAUCGCAAGACCUGGCGCUUGAUGAGGGGCCCGCGUCUGAUUAGCUAGNGGUGAGGUAACGGCCCACCAAGGCAACGAUCAGUAUCCGGCCUGAGAGGGCGGACGGACACACUGGGACUGAGACACGGCCCAGACUCCUACGGGAGGCAGCAGUGGGGAAUUGUUCGCAAUGGGCGCAAGCCUGACGACGCAACGCCGCGUGGAGGAUGAAGGUCUUCGGAUUGUAAACUCCUGUUGCCCGGGACGAAUGGCUCCGACCUAACACGUCGGAGUGUGACGGUCCGGGUGAGGAAGCCCGGCUAACUCUGUGCCAGCCGCCGCCGU
RNAcentral lists this ribosomal RNA (508 nucleotides) under uncultured bacterium. Its description in RNAcentral is "bacterial SSU rRNA". It matches the Rfam family "Bacterial small subunit ribosomal RNA", at positions 28 to 521 of the family's 1533-position model. The record is from RNAcentral.